GUACCUACUCUUGUGACUCCUCUACCGGCUGUCUCAAGUUACCAGACAAAUGGAUGAUUCAACAUGCUGGUGGGAAAAGAAAAAUACCAAUUUUUCCAUUCAAGGACAUCAGCCAAAACUUCCACUUGAACAUUCCAUUACGCUUGAAUGAAGAGGUUUAAACAGCGAGGCACAUCAGAGAUUGGCUCUAAAGCAUCCUUAUGAAACAGUUCCUCUACAUGCCGGCUACUGACUAGAUGCUGGGAAGACCACUGUGAAAUGCCAUGGUUCCUGCUAACAAGUGCCUGUCAGUCCCCUCUGGCUCUAAGGAGGUCUCUCUCUAAGAAAGCAGGAUGGGGUGAAGGUUAAAUUUCCUGUAAAACACCUGGAAGAAUCCCUCAUGCUAAAAGAAAGCAACUUAUUCCUGCAGAUCAUAUGGGGCAGAGAAAAAAAAUGAAAUAAAGCAGUUUAUGUACUCAUGUUCAUAAAAACUGUACUGUGAACCUAAAACACAAAACAAACCAUUGUACGGGUGUGUCUUUUAUUGAACCUAGAGUUUGACAGCUUUCCAGCAAGGCAAUCUAAGAUACAGUAUUUUUGUGAUUCCUUAACUGUCAAAAUUUGAGUAUUCAUUGUGCAAAGCAUUGUGGAAUUAAGCAGAUAAAAGAAAAGAUACAGUUUCUGCCUUCAUAAGGAUAAGGUUACUUUGGUAUUGAAAUCUUUCUUUUCAGAAAGCUUACAGCAGCGACAAAAUGGGUAGAAUAUGAGCAAAUUUGUGUAGCUGCUUUCUCUGUUUUCAUCUGUUUUUGGCACCCAGUAGCCUCUCCUGGUCUCUCGGAGUCCCUCAUGACUCACUUCCAAAAGUCCUCCUCCUUUCACUUCCUUCUUUUAUUAUGCUUAUAUCAAAAUUACUUGCUUAAAUCUAUUUUCUUAAAGACCUGUUGCCAAAGUGAUAGCUAGCUAUUCUGGUAAACUAAUCCAUGCUAAGGUACAUUCUAGUUUUAUCCCUUCAAGUAACAUAUUACACUUUAACUGUCUUUUUAGGGACAAUGUCUUAAUGCAUAGAAGUCUAAUGGUGGGGAUUUCUGCAUACAUGAUGGGCCUUUCAGUGUUCCCCAAAUACAUCAUCUGAAGGGCUGCCAACAUUAUCUCCCUGUCCUGAGGGUGGGGAAGAAAAUAAAUGGGCUAAAUCUGCAUUGCUUGGAGGAGUUCCUAAUAUCAUGCUUGCCAAAACCCAGGAGAGGUAGGUAGGUCCGUCCACACCUUUGCAGGGUCCUUUGCUUCAACAAGCCCAGCCCGGUUUUCCACAACUCCUAACAGGGAAAAAAACAUUUCUCAAAAGAGAUGUGCAAGUGACAUAUGGAGCAGGACAAUUCUUUGUUUCUCAUAAUGGUAUUAUACAUGGCAGGACAUUUUAGCAUCCCUGGUUGCAACCCACUAAAUUCCAAUAGCAUCUCCCUUCCCUCAUUGCUGUCUGUCUGGUCACUGUGACAACCAACAUGACUCCCACACAUUUCCAAAUAUGUAGAACAACCCUGGUGAGAACUAUUGGACAUUCCUUUUAGAGCCAGUUAGAACAUUUUCUCUGCAGGAAGCACCAUAUGUUCCAUCAGCCUCACUUGAAAGAGGUUGAGUGGCCUUGGAUCUCCACUGACCAGGUUCAGGAAUACAGUGUAUGUGUGGAAAAAGGCAGACAUAAACUCUCCCCUUUAACAUCCAUAAACCAAUUCUAGCCGACAAUCUUACCAUGAUUCAG
This is a long non-coding RNA of Pan troglodytes (chimpanzee), 1735 nucleotides long. RefSeq lists it as uncharacterized. The transcript has 4 exons. NCBI's taxonomy places the organism in Eukaryota, Metazoa, Chordata, Mammalia, Primates, Hominidae. The record is from RefSeq and is a predicted model, not a curated record.